This 460-nucleotide ribosomal RNA is filed under the name uncultured bacterium. RNAcentral's name for it is "partial 16S ribosomal RNA". It matches the Rfam family "Bacterial small subunit ribosomal RNA", at positions 338 to 795 of the family's 1533-position model. The record is from RNAcentral.
CCUACGGGUGGCUGCAGUGAGGAAUAUUGGUCAAUGGACGAGAGUCUGAACCAGCCAAGUAGCGUGAAGGAUGACUGCCCUAUGGGUUGUAAACUUCUUUUAUAUGGGAAUAAAACGUUCCACGUGUGGGAUUUUGUAUGUACCAUAUGAAUAAGGAUCGGCUAACUCCGUGCCAGCAGCCGCGGUAAUACGGAGGAUCCGAGCGUUAUCCGGAUUUAUUGGGUUUAAAGGGAGCGUAGGUGGAUUGUUAAGUCAGUUGUGAAAGUUUGCGACUCAACCGUAAAAUUGCAGUUGAAACUGGCAGUCUUGAGUACAGUAGAGGUGGGCGGAAUUCGUGGUGUAGCGGUGAAAUGCUUAGAUAUCACGAAGAACUCCGAUUGCGAAGGCAGUUCACUGGACUGCAACUGACACUGAGGCUCGAAAGUGGGGGUAUCAAACAGGAUUAGAUACCCGUGUAGUC